RNAcentral lists this ribosomal RNA (245 nucleotides) under uncultured Hanseniaspora. RNAcentral's name for it is "partial large subunit ribosomal RNA". It matches the Rfam family "Eukaryotic large subunit ribosomal RNA", at positions 38 to 281 of the family's 3401-position model. The record is from RNAcentral. Lineage: Eukaryota; Fungi; Ascomycota; Saccharomycetes; Saccharomycodales; Saccharomycodaceae.
GCAUAUCAAUAAGCGGAGGAAAAGAAACCAACUGGGAUUACCUUAGUAACGGCGAGUGAAGCGGUAAAAGCUCAAAUUUGAAAUCUGGUACUUUCAGUGCCCGAGUUGUAAUUUGUAGAAUUUGUCUUUGAUUAGGUCCUUGUCUAUGUUCCUUGGAACAGGACGUCAUAGAGGGUGAGAAUCCCGUUUGGCGAGGAUACCUUUUCUCUGUAAGACUUUUUCGAAGAGUCGAGUUGUUUGGGAAU